GGAUGUGAGGGCGAUCUGGCUGCGACAUCUGUCACCCCAUUGAUCGCCAGGGUUGAUUCGGCUGAUCUGGCUGGCUAGGCGGGUGUCCCCUUCCUCCCUCACCGCUCCAUGUGCGUCCCUCCCGAAGCUGCGCACUGGGUCGACGAGGACGACCUUCCCCGAAUAGAGGAGGACCGGUCUUCGGUCAAGGGUAUACGAGUAGCUGCGCUCCCCUGCUAGAACCUCCAAACAAGCUCAAGGUCCAUAAUCUAGAUAGUAUUAAAUUUUUGGACACUUAUGCAGUUUCAGACAUGGGUUUCAUCAUGAGCUUUUCAUGGAAUGACCCU
Molecule: small nuclear RNA, 326 nt
Filed under: Meriones unguiculatus (Mongolian gerbil)
Lineage: Eukaryota; Metazoa; Chordata; Mammalia; Rodentia; Muridae
Description: 7SK RNA (ENSMUGG00000024035.1)
Rfam family: 7SK RNA
About the family: 7SK was discovered as an abundant small nuclear RNA in the mid-70s but a possible function has only recently been suggested.
Source: RNAcentral